This 467-nucleotide ribosomal RNA is filed under the name uncultured bacterium. RNAcentral's name for it is "partial 16S ribosomal RNA". It matches the Rfam family "Bacterial small subunit ribosomal RNA", at positions 28 to 507 of the family's 1533-position model. The record is from RNAcentral.
GACGAACGCUGGCGGCGUGCUUAACACAUGCAAGUCGAACGGAAAGGUUCCAGCUUGCUGGAGUACUCGAUUGGCGAACGGGUGAGUAUCACGCGGGUAAUCUGCCCUGCACUCAGGGAUAAGCCUGGGAAACUGGGUCUAAUACUGGAUAUGACCUUUCUCCUCAUGGGGUUUGGUGGAAAGUGUUUCGUUGUAGGAUGAGUCCGCGGCUUAUCAGCUCGCUGGUGAGGGGAUGGCAUACAAAGGCGACGAGGGGUAGCCGGCCUGAGAGGGUGAUCGGCCACACGGGGACUGCGAUACGGCCCAGACUGCUACGGGAGGCAGCAGUCGGGAAUAUUGCGCAAUGGGCGGACGUCUGUUGCGGCGGCGCCGCGUGAGUAAUGCCGGCCUUCUGGUGGUAAACCUCUGUGAGCGGGACCGAAGCGUACGUGACGGUACCUGCACAAAAAGCACCGGCUAACUAUGUG